Long non-coding RNA from Dioscorea cayenensis subsp. rotundata (Guinea yam), 448 nucleotides. RefSeq lists it as uncharacterized. The record is from RefSeq and is a predicted model, not a curated record. Lineage: Eukaryota; Viridiplantae; Streptophyta; Magnoliopsida; Dioscoreales; Dioscoreaceae. The transcript is spliced from 2 exons.
UAUCAGCAAGUAAUAAAGUCUUAUAAGCAAGAAAUAUAUCUAUGGCUUGCAACAAAGCUUUUAUCAUUAUAGCCUCCAUCCUGCUACUUCUCUUCACCAAUUCAUUCUUGUGCUCAGUCUCUGCUACUCCUCGCUUAAUUGGGACACCUGUGUAUCGAAUCCCAGGAAGAGGAAGAAUGCCUUUGUAUCCAAACCGAGGAAGGAGAGGGUGCCCAUAUGGCCAUGCAUGCAUACCAGAAUCUCCUCCUCGUAGUCCGUGCCGUGCGGGUGAAAAGUGUGUCCAUGUCUAACUAUGCUUGAUUUAUGCAUGCUCCGAAUUAUUAUAUGUGUUUAUAAUAAAAGGGUCCUUGUUGUAUUUGUCAGGGAUCAAUGAAUAAGAUCAUCAUGUCUUAUAUUUUUAGAGGAUAUUUAGGACUGAAUUAAUGAAGACAUGGUUUAAUGUUUUUUA